RNAcentral lists this long non-coding RNA (404 nucleotides) under Meriones unguiculatus (Mongolian gerbil). RNAcentral describes it as "lncRNA (ENSMUGG00000018194.1)". Lineage: Eukaryota; Metazoa; Chordata; Mammalia; Rodentia; Muridae. The record is from RNAcentral.
UUUGGGGAGAAGGUAGACCUCUUGCAUCCCCUGAGGCUGCUCGAAGUACAGUAAUGGGGAACUUGUUUUGGUGCCCAGACGCCUAAGCCCCUACAGAGGACCUUCUAAGCACUGACAGGCCCUGAAACAGCUGGCAGAACGGUUGAUGAAUGAAGGAAGUGACUUUGCGUUGUGCAGUGCAUGCUGCAUGCAACCCGGAUAGGUCCAGUUUUGAAUUCAGGACCUCCGUGUCUUCAAAGAAUCGAAUAUGUGAUCUAUUUCUUUCUUCCUUGGAGACCUGGCUAGGAAGUAACUUCAUGUAACGUUUUUUGAUGGCGCCUUGUCUGAGGACUCCAGCUGCUUUGAUGAUAGCCUAAGAAGGCUGCACGCUGUUCCCUGUCAGCGCCAAGCCAGGCCCAUUCAGA